ACACACACACACAGACACAGACAGACACACACACACAGACACACACAGACAGACAGACACACACACACACAGACACAGACAGACAGACAGACACACACACAUAAUAGCGGCCUCAUCACCUUUUAUGCCUCUUUUCUCAGUCUUUUCUCUUCAGUCGGUUUGAGGAAUGUUUUUUUUAAUCAAAUGUAAAUACUAACUUUGUCCCCAAUAGCUUGGUGGAUUUACAAUCAAUUCCCCUCGGCCUUCCAUUGGCUGACUUCAAAGCGAACGGCCCCAUGAUCAGCCCGUCAUUUUAUGGAAGAAAUGUUUCCCCUCCCUAGUGUUUCCCCUCCCUUUUUCCCCCCACUAGUUCUUAAUGAGGUCUGGAACUGCAUCCAAAAUGGCACCCUAUUGCCUAUAUCAAGGCACCCUAACCUCUAGGUUUUCACUCCAACCCUAGUUCUAAUAAUUAUCUUGUUGGUAAGCUGAAUCAGGUUAGUUAGAACUAGGAUUGGAUUGAACACCUACAGGACGGUAGCUCUCCAGGAACAGGAUUGGAGUGAAUACCUACAGGACGGUAGCUCUCCGGGAACAGGAUUGGAGUGAAUACCUACAGGACGGUAGCUCUCCAGGAACAGGGUUGGAGCGACCUGCCCUAUAUAGUAUCCCUUCUUUUGACCAGGACCCAAUGGACCCUAGUAAAAAGUAGUGAAAAGGGUGCCAUUUCAGUCGCAGCCUAGAUGCUGAGUUAAUAGCAGGCCUGUAGUAUAGCAGAGCAGCCUGAGGACGCCAGACCAGACUGUGAAUGCAUCCAAAAUGGCACACUUUCCCCAAUAUAGUGCACUACUUCUGACCAGGGCUCUGGUCAGAAGUAGUGCACUAUGUAGGGAAUAGGGUGUAAUUUGGGAUGAAGAUUAAGAUACUUAACAUAACUGUACAGUUUUCUCUGCUCUGCUUUGGCUCUUUUUCCUCUGAAGGGGUUGCUGCCCAAAUUACUGGGUACACUCUGCCGGCCCAGAAAGAUGAAAGGAUUGGGGGGGGGGGGGGGGGCAAAAUGACUGUGAGGGGGCUCUGUUCCAGAUUUUUUGUAUUUUUCCUAGUUAACUUUUAACCAUUGAAUGUCUGACUUUCUCAGAGGAUAGGCUACAACACUGAAUAAUUGCUGAACGUGUGUGUGUGUGUAUCUGUGUAAAUAGUUUACUGUCAGUCCUCUGCCGUUUAUACUUUAUCUUUAUCAGUUUGUUUGUAAUUAGGCCAUGGUGGUAUAAGAAUUGAGAGGAAGUUGAGAUGCAAAAGUAAAGUUGUGAAAAAAGCCCUCCCACUUUUUCCUUU
Molecule: non-coding RNA, 1311 nt
Organism: Oncorhynchus mykiss (rainbow trout)
Lineage: Eukaryota; Metazoa; Chordata; Actinopteri; Salmoniformes; Salmonidae
Source: RefSeq, a predicted model, not a curated record